AUGCGUUUUGAAGCCCAUGGACGCAAGUACUCUGUCGACAUUGUGAAGGGGGCACACAGGACCAGGAUCAAGGGGAGUGGCUGGAAGAAAUUCACUUCUGACUUUUCUCUUCAGAAGGGUGCUGUGGUCAUUUUUGACUUGGACAGGCGUCCCCGCCAGGCAUAUGUUGUCGCUCAAAGUGUUGACUUGCACACAGUUGAAGGAAGCUCUUCAGACGGGGAUGCUGAUGAAGAGAUGGUAGAUGGAGGCAUCUCAGAUGUGGAUGAAGACGGUGGCAACAUAAAGAUCGAGUAUACAAGGGGUCUAACUCUGAAUGAUGCACAACAGGACAUUCUCAAUGAACUGGUGCUCAGCUUCAAGUCCAAGUUUUUAGGAGUGUCUUUUGUACACUGUCUUACUACAACUGACACUCAAGUUGGACAAAUGGUAUGUUUUGUUGUUUCUUUUUUAUUAAAUUUUUGCUUUUUGUGUUUACUUUAUUUUGUUUAUAUGCAUUCAUUAUUUUCUUAA
Molecule: ribosomal RNA, 510 nt
Filed under: Triticum aestivum (bread wheat)
Lineage: Eukaryota; Viridiplantae; Streptophyta; Magnoliopsida; Poales; Poaceae
Description: partial small subunit ribosomal RNA
Source: RNAcentral